GACGUAGGGCGCGAGCGUUGUCCGGAUUUAUUGGGCGUAAAGAGCUCGUAGGCGGCUUGUCGCGUCGUUCGUGAAAACCUGCGGCUCAACUGCAGGCUUGCGGUCGAUACGGGCAGGCUGGAGUUCGGUAGGGGAGACUGGAAUUCCUGGUGUAGCGGUGAAAUGCGCAGAUAUCAGGAGGAACACCGGUGGCGAAGGCGGCUCACUGGCUCAUAUCUGACGCUCAGGCGCGACAGCGUGGGGAUCAAACAGG
RNAcentral lists this ribosomal RNA (253 nucleotides) under uncultured bacterium. RNAcentral's name for it is "partial 16S ribosomal RNA". It matches the Rfam family "Bacterial small subunit ribosomal RNA", at positions 524 to 776 of the family's 1533-position model. The record is from RNAcentral.